RNAcentral lists this ribosomal RNA (445 nucleotides) under uncultured bacterium. RNAcentral describes it as "bacterial SSU rRNA". It matches the Rfam family "Bacterial small subunit ribosomal RNA", at positions 354 to 796 of the family's 1533-position model. The record is from RNAcentral.
GUGAGGAAUAUUGCGCAAUGGAGGCAACUCUGACGCAGCCAUGCCGCGUGCAGGAAGAAGGCGCUACGCGUUGUAAACUGCUUUUAACCGGGAAGAAACCCCAGGACGUGUCCUGGGUUGACGGUACCGGAGGAAUAAGCACCGGCUAACUUCGUGCCAGCAGCCGCGGUAAUACGAAGGGUGCAAGCGUUAUCCGGAUUCAUUGGGUUUAAAGGGUGCGUAGGCGGAGCGUUAAGUCAGUGGUGAAAUCCUGCAGCUUAACUGUAGACUGGCCAUUGAUACUGGCGCUCUUGAGUGCGCUUGAAGUGGGCGGAAUGUGCCGUGUAGCGGUGAAAUGCUUAGAUAUGGCACAGAACACCAAUUGCGAAGGCAGCUCACUAAGGCGAUACUGACGCUGAGGCACGAAAGCGUGGGGAUCGAACAGGAUUAGAUACCCCGGUAGUCC